Molecule: ribosomal RNA, 409 nt
Filed under: uncultured microorganism
Description: bacterial SSU rRNA
Rfam family: Bacterial small subunit ribosomal RNA
Source: RNAcentral
CAGCCGCCGCGGUAAUACGUAGGGUGCGAGCGUUAAUCGGAUUUACUGGGCGUAAAGCGUGCGCAGGCGGCCCGUUAAGACAGGUGUGAAAUCCCUGGGCUCAACCUAGGAAUUGCGCUUGUGACUGGCGGGCUCGAGUACGGUAGAGGGGGUGGAAUUCCUGGGGUAGCAGUGGAAUGCGUAGAGAUCAGGAGGAACACCGAUGGCGAGGGCAGCCCCCUGGGCCUGUACUGACGCUCAUGCACGAAAGCGUGGGGAGCAAACAGGAUUAGAUGCCCUGGUAGUCCACGCCCUAAACGAUGGGUACUAGCCGUUUGGUGCGCGAUAGCGCUGAGUGGCGAAGCUAACGCGUGAAGUACCCCGCCUGGGGAGUACGGCCGCAAGGUUGAAACUUAAAGGAAUUGGCGGG